CCUACGGGUGGCUGCAGUAGGGAAUAUUGCUCAAUGGGGGAAACCCUGAAGCAGCAACGCCGCGUGGAGGAUGAAGGUUUUCGGAUUGUAAACUCCUUUUGUUAGAGAAGAUAAUGACGGUAUCUAACGAAUAAGCACCGUCUAACUCCGUGCCAGCAGCCGCGGUAAUACGGAGGGUGCAAGCGUUACUCGGAGUCACUGGGCAUAAAGAGCGCGUAGGCGGGAUAGCAGGUCAGAUGUGAAAUCCUAUGGCUUAACCAUAGAACUGCAUUUGAAACUGUUAUUCUAGAGUACAGUAGAGGUAGGCGGAAUUCGUGGUGUAGGGGUGAAAUGCGUAGAGAUCAAGAGGAAUACUGAUUGCGAAGGCGACUUGCUAGAACAUAACUGACGCUGAUGCGCGAAAGCGUGGGGAGCAAACAGGAUUAGAUACCCUAGUAGUC
This 440-nucleotide ribosomal RNA is filed under the name uncultured bacterium. RNAcentral describes it as "partial 16S ribosomal RNA". It matches the Rfam family "Bacterial small subunit ribosomal RNA", at positions 338 to 795 of the family's 1533-position model. The record is from RNAcentral.